CAGUAGCCGCGGUAAUACGUAGGUGGCAAGCGUUGUCCGGAAUUAUUGGGCGUAAAGCGCGCGCAGGCGGAUAGGUCAGUCUGUCUUAAAAGUUCAGGGCUUAACCCCGUGAUGGGAUGGAAACUGCCAAUCUAGAGUAUCGGAGAGGAAAGUGGAAUUCCUAGUGUAGCGGUGAAAUGCGUAGAUAUUAGGAAGAACACCAGUGGCGAAGGCGACUUUCUGGACGAAAACUGACGCUGAGGCGCGAAAGCCAGGGGAGCGAACGGGAUUAGAUACCCGCGUAGUCCCUGUCUCUUAUACA
This 301-nucleotide ribosomal RNA is filed under the name uncultured bacterium. RNAcentral describes it as "partial 16S ribosomal RNA". It matches the Rfam family "Bacterial small subunit ribosomal RNA", at positions 509 to 809 of the family's 1533-position model. The record is from RNAcentral.